This is a small nuclear RNA of Marchantia polymorpha subsp. polymorpha, 160 nucleotides long. It matches the Rfam family "U1 spliceosomal RNA". From Rfam's summary of the family: U1 is a small nuclear RNA (snRNA) component of the spliceosome (involved in pre-mRNA splicing). Its 5' end forms complementary base pairs with the 5' splice junction, thus defining the 5' donor site of an intron. There are significant differences in sequence and secondary structure between metazoan and yeast U1 snRNAs, the latter being much longer (568 nucleotides as compared to 164 nucleotides in human). The record is from Rfam. NCBI's taxonomy places the organism in Eukaryota, Viridiplantae, Streptophyta, Marchantiopsida, Marchantiales, Marchantiaceae.
AUACUUACCUGGGCGGAGCCAAUCGCUGAUCCUGAAGGGCGAUGACUUAGAUUCAGUUCUUCCAUUGCACUAAGGUUGGGCGGGUUCUAGCAUUUCCCCAAGGGGAAAAUGCACGUCAUAAUUUGUGUCAGAGGAGGGCUCGCGUUCGCGCGGCCCUCCA